GACGAACGCUGGCGGCGUGCUUAACACAUGCAAGUCGAGCGGUAAGGCCCUUUCGGGGUACACGAGCGGCGAACGGGUGAGUAACACGUGGGUGACCUGCCCUUAGCUCUGGGAUAAGCCUGGGAAACUGGGUCUAAUACCGGAUAUGACUCCAUGACGCAUGUUGUGGGGUGGAAAGCCUUGUGCGGCUAGGGAUGGGCCCGCGGCCUAUCAGCUUGUUGGUGGGGUGAUGGCCUACCAAGGCGACGACGGGUAGCCGGCCUGAGAGGGCGACCGGCCACACUGGGACUGAGACACGGCCCAGACUCCUACGGGAGGCAGCAGGUGGGGAAUC
RNAcentral lists this ribosomal RNA (334 nucleotides) under uncultured bacterium. RNAcentral's name for it is "bacterial SSU rRNA". It matches the Rfam family "Bacterial small subunit ribosomal RNA", at positions 28 to 363 of the family's 1533-position model. The record is from RNAcentral.